GUUGUUGCUGGUCCUCAACGGGGGCAUGUGCACGCUCUGUUCACACAUCCACUCACACCUGUGCACCCUCUGUAGUUCUGUGGCCUGGGGGCUCUGUCCUCUUGCCAUGGUACUAUGUCUUUACACACACACCGUUAUAAAGUCUCAUGGAAUGUACAUAGCGUUUAACGCAAUACAAUACAACUUUCAGCAACGGAUCUCUUGGCUCUCGCAUCGAUGAAGAACGCAGCGAAAUGCGAUAAGUAAUGUGAAUUGCAGAAUUCAGUGAAUCAUCGAAUCUUUGAACGCACCUUGCGCCCUUUGGCUAUUCCGAAGGGCAUGCCUGUUUGAGUAUCAUGAACACCUCAACUCUCACGGUCUACCCGUGAUGAGCUUGGACUUUGGAGGUCUUGCUGGCCAGUGGCCAGCUCCUCUCAAAUGAAUCAACUUGCCAGUGUUUGGCGGCACCACAGGUGUGAUAACUAUCUACGCUUGUGGUUUCCUGCCAGGUGUCCCUUCAGCAAUGGGGGGUUCGCUGGAGCUCAUAAAUGUCUCUCCACAGAGAGGACAACCUCUUGAACGUUUGAUCUCAAAUCAGGUAGGACUACCCGCUGAACUUAAGCAUAUCAAUAAGCGGAGGAAAAGAAACUAACAAGGAUUCCCCUAGUAACU
This 651-nucleotide ribosomal RNA is filed under the name Tomentella sp. YM931. RNAcentral's name for it is "eukaryotic LSU rRNA". The stretch from base 182 to 336 matches the Rfam family "5.8S ribosomal RNA". The record is from RNAcentral. Lineage: Eukaryota; Fungi; Basidiomycota; Agaricomycetes; Thelephorales; Thelephoraceae.